Gymnodraco acuticeps is the source of this 2155-nucleotide RNA transcript. It is a transcript of the gene named polymeric immunoglobulin receptor-like, with no coding region annotated. The transcript has 14 exons. The record is from RefSeq and is a predicted model, not a curated record. NCBI's taxonomy places the organism in Eukaryota, Metazoa, Chordata, Actinopteri, Perciformes, Bathydraconidae.
GCUGUCAUUUGUUUUUUCUUUCUUUUUGAAGGAAAAAAGGAAGUAGAGCAUCAGUUCGUACAUGUUGUUUGGUCCGCUCACACUCUGACAUGGCUGUUCAUCUCGGCUUCCUUCUCAUUUUGAUCGGACUCACAGGAAGUCACGGCAUAACUACCGUCAGUAAAGUGUCAGUGAGAGCUGGAGGUUCGAUCACCAUUCCAUGUCUCUACGAGUCACAAUACAUAAACCAUGUGAAAUACUUGUGUAAAGGAUCUACUUGGAACUUCUGCUCUGACGCGAUUAAAACAAACCAACACAAUACAGGGAAGUUUUCCAUCUCUGAUGACAAACAACGAAAAAUCUUCACUGUGACUAUAAAUGACCUGACUGAUAAGGACACUGAAUAUUACUGGUGUGCUGUGGAGAUUAAAGAUGGAGCAGAUCUCAAAGAGUAUUUCCACCUGUCAGUCACUGGAGGUUCACCCAGUCUCUACGUGGCUCAGCAAGAGAUUACAGGAUUUAAAGGAGAUAACAUAAACAUCAAGUGUCACUAUCGAAACUCUAGAGAAAGGAAGUGGUGCAGGCUCGGCGGCUCCUGUGUGACACGGUCUGGAUCAAUAGAUGGAGCAAGAGUCGAGAUCAGUGCAAGCAACUCUGGUGUUCUCACUGUGACUCUGAGCGGACUGAGGACAGAGAGCAGUGGCUGGUAUUGGUGCGGUAAAGGAGACUUACAGAUGCCAGUGCACAUAACUGUUACUGAGAAACCUACAACUACAAAAAGUCCUUCCACCCCUGAGCCUGUGAAGCAAACCACUAGUUCUGCAGACCAAACACUUUCCACUGUUGAUGGCGAACAGCAAAGUUUUUCAGGGAACUUAAAGAGCUUUAUCAUCCCUUUGAGUUUGCUGAUCUUCAUUGUUAUGGUGGCCAUGUUUAUUUGGUUUAUGUUCAAAAAGCACAGACAGACCAAAGAAGAAUCCCCAGCCACAAUAAUUUCUAAUGCGGAAGUAACAUACAGUACUGUCAAGAAAAAGAGAAAGACAGGUCAGCUUGGUCUCGCUGAAGAGGAAGUAACAUACAGCGAUGUUAAACACAUGAGAAGAGCUUCAGAAAAGUGGUCAGAAGCUAAUAGAGAUGUGGACGUGAUGUACUCCUCUGUGGUCGCUGAAGAACGUCAAACUAAACAAAGGUCUAAUGCGGAUGUAACAUACAGUACUGUCAAUAAAAAGAGAAAGACUUCAGGUCAGGAAGAAUUGUUCAUGUUCAUGUUGAUGGUUUGCAGCUUGGUCUCGCUGAAGAGGAAGUAACAUACAGCGAUGUUAAACACAUGAGAAGAGCUUCAGAAAAGUGGUCAGAAGCUAAUAGAGAUGUGGACGUGAUGUACUCCUCUGUGGUCGCUGUAGAACGUCAAACUAAACAAAGGAUUCAAGCGGAAGAAGAUGAUGUAACAUACAGCAGUUUGGCUUAGCACCAGAGAAACCUGUGAAUGUUACCCCUACUCUACAUCUAUGCUCAUCGAUGGAGGCUUUUUUAGAUGACAGUCUUGCAACUUGCCGACAUCUGAUCUUUGGUUUUGCAGAAACCGCUUUCUUUUUUUCUUAUUUCUCCCCUUCCCCUUUCUUCAUAUCCUUAAGCUCAAGACAUUUUAUGCAUUGACAAAAGCUUUCUACUCUCUUACAAAAGGACUAAACUCCUGAACAUUCAGGAGGAACCAAACAAAUCUUACAGGUUGUUUAAUUAUGUUUGUUCAUUUACAUAUUGUAUUAUGUGUGUUUUGUUGUUUGAUGUUUGAUGGAACAUGAAUUAUAAUGUUUAAAGUACAAAAUAAGUCAACUAAAAUAAACAUUAAAAUGCAAUAAAUCACGAGUUGAUAUUUCAGUUUCUGCCAUCCUCCUUGUCUUCUUCUUCUUAUAUAUUUAACUGUUCGAAACAUCAACUUUCUGAUGGCUCAUAAAGUAAUAUUAUCUCUCCAUUUUUUAUGCACUGUGCGUGUUUGACACAUACUUCAAAUGGUUGUCGUGGUUUAAUGUUUUAAAUAAAUGAACAAGGUUUAGUCCAUAUGCCUGAAGUGCUAUUCUUUUGUUUAGAAAUAUGGAACUUGUCCCAAAGUCUACAGUAAAUGAUAUUGUAAAAUUGCACUGUAGAGGCAUUGUUAGUGAACUCUAAUUUCUCUGAU